GUGUCAGCAGCCGCGGUAAGACGUAGGGCGCAAGCGUUGUCCGGAUUUAUUGGGCGUAAAGAGCUCGUAGGCGGCUUGUUGCGUCGUCCGUGAAAACCUGGGGCUCAACUUCAGGUCUGCGGACGAUACGGGCAGGCUGGAGUUCGGUAGGGGAGACUGGAAUUCCUGGUGUAGCGGUGAAAUGCGCAGAUAUCAGGAGGAACACCGGUGGCGAAGGCGGGUCUCUGGGCCGAUACUGACGCUGAGGAGCGAAAGCGUGGGGAGCGAACAGGAUUAGAAACCCCAGUAGUCC
This 292-nucleotide ribosomal RNA is filed under the name uncultured bacterium. RNAcentral describes it as "partial 16S ribosomal RNA". It matches the Rfam family "Bacterial small subunit ribosomal RNA", at positions 505 to 796 of the family's 1533-position model. The record is from RNAcentral.